UACGUAGGGUGCAAGCGUUGUCCGGAAUUAUUGGGCGUAAAGAGCUCGUAGGCAGUCUGUCGCGUCGGAUGUGAAAACCCAGGGCUCAACCCUGGGCCUGCAUUCGAUACGGGCAGACUAGAGUUCGGUAGGGGAGACUGGAAUUCCUGGUGUAGCGGUGAAAUGCGCAGAUAUCAGGAGGAACACCGGUGGCGAAGGCGGGUCUCUGGGCCGAAACUGACGCUGAGGAGCGAAAGCGUGGGGAGCAAACAGG
RNAcentral lists this ribosomal RNA (253 nucleotides) under uncultured bacterium. RNAcentral describes it as "partial 16S ribosomal RNA". It matches the Rfam family "Bacterial small subunit ribosomal RNA", at positions 524 to 776 of the family's 1533-position model. The record is from RNAcentral.